This 448-nucleotide ribosomal RNA is filed under the name uncultured bacterium. RNAcentral describes it as "partial 16S ribosomal RNA". It matches the Rfam family "Bacterial small subunit ribosomal RNA", at positions 29 to 523 of the family's 1533-position model. The record is from RNAcentral.
AAUGAACGCUGGCGGCAGGCCUACACAUGCAAGUCGAACGGGUCCUUCGGGACUAGUGGCGGACGGGUGAGUAACGCGUGGGAACGUGCCCCUUGGUACGGAAUAGCCCCGGGAAACUGGGAGUAAUACCGUAUGUGGUCGAGAGACGAAAGAUUUAUCGCCAAGGGAUCGGCCCGCGUUGGAUUAGGUAGUUGGUGGGGUAAUGGCCUACCAAGCCGACGAUCCAUAGCUGGUUUGAGAAGAUGAUCAGCCACACUGGGACUGAGACACGGCCCAGACUCCUACGGGAGGCAGCAGUGGGGAAUAUUGGACAAUGGGCGCAAGCCUGAUCCAGCCAUGCCGCGUGAGUGAUGAAGGCCUUAGGGUUGUAAAGCUCUUUUGUCCGGGACGAUAAUGACGGUACCGGAAGAAUAAGCCCCGGCUAACUUCGUGCCAGCAGCCGCCGUAA